Long non-coding RNA from Etheostoma spectabile (orangethroat darter), 813 nucleotides. RefSeq lists it as uncharacterized. NCBI's taxonomy places the organism in Eukaryota, Metazoa, Chordata, Actinopteri, Perciformes, Percidae. The transcript is spliced from 3 exons. The record is from RefSeq and is a predicted model, not a curated record.
AAAAAAAAUUGCACAGCAAAACGUUGCCAGCAUAAGAAGAAUCCAAAAGAAGUCCAUUUGUGAGGAAAGAUCUAUCCUAGAUCUACACAAGAAAGUGCUACUCAUACUGAUGGUGUAAAUUAUGGGACAUGACAGUGGAUUCCUGGUGUUCACACUGGAGCCUGUCUAAAUAAACUCGGAUCUAUGCUGUAUCUACUUGACUGUAUGCUUCCACACACCACCACAGGCUCUGGCUAAUCUCACCUACAGUGGUCGCCCUACCCAUUUCAGCGCUGCCUCAAAAUGUGAGAAGAUAGAGACAGAGAAGGUGUGGUGCUCUCUGUUAUCCCAGAUGAGCAAUGGUGACCAGCAAAGUCAUCUCUAACCAUGAGCCACAUGUUUGUUUUUAACUAUCGUUUGACCUGUUUUAGGUUUGCAAAUCUAAAACUAAACAAACUGUAACUCCUAAAGGAUUGGACUUCUAAAACAUAGGCUUUGCCUGAAUACAAAAUAUAAACUGCAUGUCUUUCUCCAAACAGUGCUUCAAGUGCCUUUGAAUCGAAUAAUGUCAUGCCAACUCCAACAUGAUUUCAUGAGCAAUUUCACGUUACAGGUUCCUAACAUUUUCAAUCUUUGGAAACCAUUUUACAUAAAAACUAAAUGUUGUUGUCCGUUUCUUAGCAAUGCAAAACUGGUAUCAUUUAGCAGAUUGGUCAUUGCGGCCUACACACUAUUCUAGGGCUAACGUUAACUUAAAGUUAAUGUUUGGUGAAAUGUAACAGUUAAUCCAGUGAAAGGCAGAUCAAAGCCUCUCAGAGGGGCUUCGGAGCCCAG